RNAcentral lists this ribosomal RNA (468 nucleotides) under uncultured bacterium. RNAcentral describes it as "partial 16S ribosomal RNA". It matches the Rfam family "Bacterial small subunit ribosomal RNA", at positions 28 to 507 of the family's 1533-position model. The record is from RNAcentral.
GACGAACGCUGGCGGCGUGCUUAACACAUGCAAGUCGAACGGAAAGGCUCCAGCUUGCUGGAGUACUCGAGUGGCGAACGGGUGAGUAACACGUGGGUGAUCUGCCCUGCACUUCGGGAUAAGCCGGGGAAACUGGGUCUAAUACCGGAUAGGACCGCACUUUGGUGUGUGUGGUGGAAAGGUUUUUCUGGUGUGGGAUGAGCUCGCGGCCUAUCAGUUUGUUGGUGGGGUAAUGGCCUACCAAGACGGGGACGGGUAGCCGGCCUGGGAGGGUGGACGGUCACCUUGGGACUGAGGUACGGCCCAGACUCCUACGGGAGGCAGCAGGGGGGAAUAUUGCACAAUGGGGGAAACCCGGAUGCAGCGACGCCGCGUGGGGGAUGAAGGCCUUCGGGUUGUAAACUCCUUUCGCUAGGGACGAAGCUUUUUGUGACGGUACCUGGAGAAGAAGCACCGGCUAACUACGUG